GAUGAACGCUGACAGCAUGCUUAACACAUGCAAGUCAACUUGAAUUUGGGUUUUUAUCUUAGGUUUGGGUGGCGGACGGGUGAGUAACGCGUAAAGAACUUGCCUCCCAGCUAGGGACAACAUUUGGAAACGAAUGCUAAUACCUAAUAUUAUGAUAAUAGGGCAUCCUAUAAUUAUGAAAGCUAUAAGCGCUGUGAGAGAGCUUUGCGUCCCAUUAGCUAGUUGGAGAGGUAACGGCUCACCAAGGCGAUGAUGGGUAGCCGGCCUGAGAGGGUGAUCGGCCACAAGGGGACUGAGACACGGCCCGUACUCCUACGGGAGGCAGCAGUGGGGAAUAUUGGACAAUGGACCGAGAGUCUGAUCCAGCAAUUCUGUGUGCACGAUGAAGUUUUUCGGAAUGUAAAGUGCUUUCAGUUGGGAAGAAACAAAUGACGGUACCAACAGAAGAAGUGACGGCUAAAUACGUG
RNAcentral lists this ribosomal RNA (467 nucleotides) under uncultured bacterium. RNAcentral's name for it is "partial 16S ribosomal RNA". It matches the Rfam family "Bacterial small subunit ribosomal RNA", at positions 28 to 507 of the family's 1533-position model. The record is from RNAcentral.